RNAcentral lists this ribosomal RNA (253 nucleotides) under uncultured bacterium. RNAcentral describes it as "partial 16S ribosomal RNA". It matches the Rfam family "Bacterial small subunit ribosomal RNA", at positions 524 to 776 of the family's 1533-position model. The record is from RNAcentral.
UACGUAGGAUCCAAGCGUUGUCCGGAUUUACUGGGUGUAAAGGGUGCGCAGGCGGACUUGUAAGUCAGGGGUGAAAUCUCACAGCUUAACUGUGAAACUGCCUUUGAUACUGCAAGUCUUGGAUCCAGAAGAGAGUUGUGGAAUUCCGAGUGUAGCAGUGAAAUGUGUAGAUAUUCGGAAGAACACCAGUGGCGAAGGCAACAACUUGGUCUGGUAUCGACGCUCAGGCACGAAAGCAUGGGGAUCAAACAGG